AUUGAAACCCUGGUUCUCAUGCAAUCACCAAAGUUAAGCAAUGUUGAGGUUGGUCAGUACCUAGAUGGGUGACCACUCAGGAAUACCAGGUGCUGUAAG
This is a non-coding RNA of Acanthosepion pharaonis, 99 nucleotides long. NCBI's taxonomy places the organism in Eukaryota, Metazoa, Mollusca, Cephalopoda, Sepiida, Sepiidae. The record is from the annotation of a GenBank genome assembly.